GAUCCGUGUCCUAUGGCCAUUGGAUGUUCGAGAUAUGGAGGAGGGAAGGGAAAGAGAAAAGGGGGGAAAGUUCAGGAGCAGCAGCUGGACGCACAUUCGGGGGGGGGCAGGGACUCUGGGCUGCGCGGGGGAGAGGCCGCGGGGGUGCAGGGGGGAGGCCUCCGGGAACCCCUGGCCCUGCGCUACCCCGUGCGUGUCAUUUGCUACAAGCCUUCUCCGGGCUUCGGUUUUUACACGACUUCCCAAUGCUCCUCAGGUUAUUUUUCAGUCGUAGAAGCUUCGUGAACCGAGCGGACCGUGUGCCUGCUCAUCCCUUUCACUUGGGGGACCUUUCGGCACCUCAGGACUCAGAGACGCUGAGGAUAGGAUUUUCCAGCGUUUUCAGUGAUGCCUGGCUGCCCCGGACCCCCAUGCAGCCUUCUAAAGCGAUCCGCUUCGUAAUCCAGAGGUCAUUUAACAGAAAUAAAUAACAUUUUAUGAGAGUUCACGGUGUUUGAAGCACUUCCAUGCCUUUUUCUCCUCUUUGGAUACUCACAACAAUCUCAGGGGGGUAGGACUCUCCGUUUUACAGACCAAAAGCUGAGGUUCAGAGAACUGUGGCCGCCUGGGUCACACGGGGUCGCACGGUGAUGUCCCCGAUGGAGCCGGCUCCCCCAAAGCUCCGUACUCCUGCCCCUGGUGACUGCUCCUAGUUCCCAGGAGGCACUUAGGCGACACACACGGUGUCCCCCGGUCAGGGCCGUAACCGGGCCUGGGACAGAGGGAGCCAAGAAAGGAGGAGGGCAGAUGAUCUCACCUCCUCUAACUGGAAGCCCACAGCCCUCACAGGAGGCGGGAGCUUAAUAUGAACCCAUUUAGUGCGGGGCAGAUACCUUCAGUGAGCAUUUUCAAGGGAGGCAACUCCGGACGGAAAGACUACUAAUCAUGAUAAGGAUAAAGGGGACCCCCCCUCUCACUUUUAAUGUGAUCCUGAGUGACAGCGAUAAUUAAGUUUGGCAGUGACAAUAUCAAGCUGUGCUGUGUGAGGAGCCCUGUUACCCGUAAAACACCAAACUCAGUUGUUUUUUUCAAAGAUUUAUUUAUUUAUGAUAGACAGAGAGAGGCAGAGACACAGGAGGAGGGAGAAGCAGGCUCCAUGCAGGAAGCCCGACGUGGGACUCGAUCCCGGGACUCCAGGAUCACACCCUGGGCUGAAGACAGCGCUAACCACUGAGCCACGCAGGGAUUUUUUCCCCCAAACUCAGUUUAAAGGAAUGGGUGUGCAUGGGUGCACACUCAGGGCGGGCUGGGGGCCUCCGGGUGCCACGGACACUAGGGUCUGCCCAGUGGGGCAGCUCCCAGUGCGUCCCAAAUGCCUCUCCCACGCCGAAAGCCUCUCCUUAACUGAAGCGUCGAUGGCUG
This 1401-nucleotide long non-coding RNA is filed under the name Canis lupus familiaris (dog). Its description in RNAcentral is "lncRNA (ENSCAFG00845030811.1)". The record is from RNAcentral. Lineage: Eukaryota; Metazoa; Chordata; Mammalia; Carnivora; Canidae.